This is a long non-coding RNA of Coregonus clupeaformis (lake whitefish), 302 nucleotides long. RefSeq lists it as uncharacterized. The transcript is spliced from 3 exons. The record is from RefSeq and is a predicted model, not a curated record. Lineage: Eukaryota; Metazoa; Chordata; Actinopteri; Salmoniformes; Salmonidae.
UACAUACAUACAUACAUACAUACAUACAUACAUACAUACACAUAUGUAUUGUUUUGUUUGUUUGUUGUUGGUAUAAGAGAUGACGUUGUUGUUUAUUUACAGUGCACAGAGACUUCGUUCUUCUUCAAGGCACCCAAUAAGACAGCAUGUAAACAUCUGUGGAAGUGCUGCAUAGAACACCACACUUUCUUCAGAAUGCCAGAAAAUGAUGGCAACACACUGACAAGAAAACUAUCCAAAUUGGGUUCUCUGGGAUCUAAGCAUCGAUACAGUGGAAAGACUGCUAUGCAGAUGGGCAGGGG